This 3190-nucleotide long non-coding RNA is filed under the name Sus scrofa (pig). RNAcentral's name for it is "lncRNA (ENSSSCG00000058236.1)". Lineage: Eukaryota; Metazoa; Chordata; Mammalia; Artiodactyla; Suidae. The record is from RNAcentral.
GGCAUAUGGAGGUUCCCAGGCUAGGGGUCUAUUCGGACCUGUUGUUGCUGGCCUACACCACAGCCACAGCAACUUGGGAUCUGAGCUGUGUCUGCGACCUACAUCACAGCUCACGGCAACGCCAGAUCCACUGAUCGAGGCCAGGGAUCGAACCCGCAACCUCAUGGUUCCUAGUCUGAUUAGUUUCCACUGCACCAGAAUGGGAACUCCCAGUUUUUCUUUUUAAUGUCUAAAUGCUUUUGACCAUUAGAACUUUUCAACUUUUUUUUUUUUUUUUUUUAACAGUUGCAUAUACAGCACAUUGAAGUUCCUGGGCUAGGGGUCAAAUUGGAGCUUCAGCUGAGGCCUGUGCCACAGCCACAGCAACAUUGGAUCCAAGCCACAUCUGUGACCUAUGCUGAAGCCUGCAGCAAUGCCAGAUCCUUAACCCACUGAGCAGGGUCAGAGAUUGACCCUGCAUGCUUAUGGACACUAUGUUGGGUUCUUAACCCUCUGAGCCACAAUGGGAACUCCUGAACCCUCCAAUUUUAAUGUAGCCAUAUAUGUUCAUUCUGUCCUUUAAGGAUCCUGGGUUUCACGUCACCCCAAGAAUAUAGAAUUCCUAUAUUUAAAAUUUUUAUGGCUUUAUUUAUACUAUCAGAUAUCUAGGAUUUAAUUUUAGGGGGUGUUAAGUGAUGCAGAGUUCAACCUUUUUUUUUUUUUUUUGUCUUUUCAGGGCCGCACCUGCAGCAUAUAUAAGUUCCCAGGCUAGGGGUCGAAUGUGAGCUGUAGCUGCUGGCCUACACCACAGCUACAGCAACGCCAGAUCUGAGCCAUAUCUGUGACCUACACCGAAGCUCAUGGCAACACCGGAUCCUUAACCCACUGAGCGAGGCCAGGGAUUGAACCCUCAUCCUCAAGGAUACUAAUUGGGCUCAUUACCACUGAGCCACAAUGGGAACCCCCAGAGUUCCAACUUUAUCCAAUAAUCAUUUCCUAGUGUGAACUGGAGACUGGCAUUUGCCACCUGCCUCUACAUGAGUUGGAUCAUGAGCCACUGCAGCUGCUGCCCCUUAACACCCCCUGAAAGGCGCUCAGGGUGGAGCUCAGGGCUGAGGCACUCUGUGCUCUAGGAAAACUGGCAGAACAGGUCUCCAGAUAAUUAGAUACUUCCGGGAGAAGAUUUUAUGAGCCCAAUUCUGGCACCUCCUCGUAUCUAGAAAAGCACUAAAAUCCUUCAUGGUGCCCUCUGCUCCUUGUGACUAGUAAUGAGCUUCACAAGACUAACGGCAACAUUCUGUAAAACGUGUGCUUGGUUGCAUGUUCCUCCCCUUCCCCCAAAUCACAUAUAAACUGACAUUCCCCCCACCUUUUUGGGGCUCCCUGAAAUGCUGCUUCCCAGGCUACAGUCCUCAUUGUGCCCCAAAUAAAACUUAACUCUCAACUUUUAGGUUGUGCAUAUUUUUAAAAUUGACAGUAGUGUUUUGAAAUAGUACUUUUAUUAUAUCCCCAUAUAUGUCUGGGUCUCUGGACUCUAAUUUGCUUAUUUAUCUUUUCCUAAUGCAAUGUCCUGCCAUCUAAAUUACUGUGGCUCUAGAGUACAUUCGAUAUAUAGUAGGCAAAUGCCCUCUUCCCCCAUGUUUUACUUAUCCAUCAAAAUUUUAAAAACUGUUGGGAAUGGGAGUUCCCAUCGUGGCUCAGUGGCAACGAACCUGACUAGUAUCCAUGGGGACAUGGGUUCCAUCCCUGGCCUCGAUCAGUGGGUUAAGGAUCUGGUGUUGCCGUGAGCUGCAGUGUAGGUUGCAGACGAGGUUCAGAUCCAGUGAUGCUACAACUCUGACUCAACCCCUAGCCUGGGAACCUCCAUAUGUCAUGGGUGUAGCCAUUAAAAGAAAAACAAAACAAAACAAAACAAAAAACUGUUGGGAUUGAGACUGUCACUGCUUGAAUUUACCAACUUAUUUGGGGAAUAAUCAUGCAAAAUGACUGCUGGGUCUUCCCAUCUAUAUAUAUGGGAUAUUGUUCCAUUUAUUCAGCUCUUCUUUGUUAUACAUUCUUAGUUGGAUAGAUGUUUGUACAGGUUUUGUUGUUUUUGUGAACGGAAUAUUUUGCAUUCUAUUUUGUAAUUUCUUCUGGACUAUUACAGUUAUAUGCAAACUAUUGAUUUUGUUAUGCUGAUAGUCCAGCAAAGGACUUGAGGAAACUCUAAUGAUUUUUCUGCAGGAAAAUUUCUGAUGGUCUGUUUCUUACAGGGUGACUGACAAUUCCAAGGAAAAACCAGUAGACUAUUUUCCCAAGACCUUAAGGUGUAGACACAUUAACAGGGCAGGAGGGAAAUACUGUUAAAAUGUGUAUUCUGAUUCAGCGGGGUGGGGUAAGAGGGGGGAGGCUCAGAGUCUGUUUCUAACAGGCCCCCAGACCACAUUUUAACAGUGAGAGGCUGGAUGCUUGCUUUCCUGUGAUUCAUCAUAAAACAAAUUUUCCUCUUGCAUUUCUUAGAAGAGACAACUGUUGCUCGGGCCCAUGGAACAAGAACAUCUGUAAACCCAGGCGGAGUUCCCAGGAGGGUUUGUGAAAUGCUAGAGCAGGAAGAGGCCUUGGGACCCAGCGGGUUCGGCCACCUUGCUUUACAUCUGAGAAAAUUGAGGCCCAGAGAGGUCAGAGUCAUCCAAAGCACCAAGGCUGGGGUCCCGGAUUUGGUAAGUGCCAUCCCAGGGCCAGUUUAUUCUAAUUGGCCAGGGGACCGACCUUCUAUAAGCCUUAGCGCCUCUGUGCCUCAGUUUCCCCACUUGUAAAAUGGGGAUGAUCAUGUUACCUGUUUAGUGCCCAGGACAGCAGUGAGAGUCAAAUGGACUGAACAAUAGGAGGAAAACAGAAUAGCCUGACUCCCUAAGGGGACCCAGGUGUGUCUGGAUCCAGAGGCCAUGUUGUCGUCCCCCACAGUGAUGGUGGGUGAGGAGGAAGUCUAUAGACCAGGGAGCACAGGUGCAAAUUAGCUGGAUCAGUUGGUAUAAACAAUGGGGACAGUGGGGUGUUGUAGAUGAACAGGACUGGGGACCUGCGGUGAACAGGAGUGGGCAAUGCUGCUCACCUUGGCUAAUGGGGACUGUGUAGGAACUUGGGCCCCAAACUUGUGGAUCUUCUGAGCUUUUAGAAUAACUUUGUGUGUGUGGUCUUCUACUGAUUCAAGUUGUAAGACAACAAGUCAGAG